Molecule: long non-coding RNA, 187 nt
Organism: Ananas comosus (pineapple)
Lineage: Eukaryota; Viridiplantae; Streptophyta; Magnoliopsida; Poales; Bromeliaceae
Exons: 3
Source: RefSeq, a predicted model, not a curated record
CACCUCUCAGUAUUUGCUGGUUUUGGAAUUGUUCUCACCUGAUUUGGAGAUCAUUAGAUCUUGAGGGGCUUUGUUGCUGGUUUGGAGGUGUUUCCAGCAGUGUUGCUUGUGAUCCGAGACCCUCUUGCUGCCAGGAUUUUCACUAAAGAGCCAUCGUCUUCGGCUGCUGCUAUUGCUGAUCUGGAUC